This 253-nucleotide ribosomal RNA is filed under the name uncultured bacterium. RNAcentral describes it as "partial 16S ribosomal RNA". It matches the Rfam family "Bacterial small subunit ribosomal RNA", at positions 524 to 776 of the family's 1533-position model. The record is from RNAcentral.
UACGGAGGGUGCAAGCGUUAUCCGGAUUCACUGGGUUUAAAGGGAGCGUAGGUGGGUUGGUAAGUCAGUGGUGAAAUCCCCGAGCUUAACUUGGGAACUGCCAUUGAUACUAUCAGUCUUGAAUACUGUGGAGGUUAGCGGAAUAUGUCAUGUAGCGGUGAAAUGCUUAGAUAUGACAUAGAACACCAAUUGCGAAGGCAGCUGGCUACACAAAUAUUGACACUGAGGCACGAAAGCGUGGGGAUCAAACAGG